GGGUUGUGAGGUUAAGCGACUAAGCGUACACGGUGGAUGCCCUGGCAGUCAGAGGCGAUGAAGGACGUGCUAAUCUGCGAAAAGCGUCGGUAAGGUGAUAUGAACCGUUACAGCCGGCGAUGUCCGAAUGGGGAAACCCAGUGCAAUUCGUUGCACUAUCGUUAACUGAAUACAUAGGUUAACGAGGCGAACCGGGGGAACUGAAACAUCUAAGUACCCCGAGGAAAAGAAAUCAACCGAGAUUCCCCCAGUAGCGGCGAGCGAACGGGGAGCAGCCCAGAGUCUGAAUCAGCUUGUGUGUUAGUGGAACGGUCUGGAAAGUCCGACGGUACAGGGUGAUAGUCCCGUACACCAAAAUGCACAGGCUGUGAACUCGAAGAGUAGGGCGGGACACGUGGUAUCCUGUCUGAAUAUGGGGGGACCAUCCUCCAAGGCUAAAUACUCCUGACUGACCGAUAGUGAACCAGUACCGUGAGGGAAAGGCGAAAAGAACCCCGGCGAGGGGAGUGAAAAAGAACCUGAAACCGUGUACGUACAAGCAGUGGGAGCACCUUCGGGUGUGACUGCGUACCUUUUGUAUAAUGGGUCAGCGACUUAUAUUCUGUAGCAAGGUUAACCGUAUAGGGGAGCCGCAGGGAAACCGAGUCUUAACUGGGCGUUAAGUUGCAGGGUAUAGACCCGAAACCCGGUGAUCUAGCCAUGGGCAGGUUGAAGGUUGGGUAACACUAACUGGAGGACCGAACCGACUAAUGUUGAAAAAUUAGCGGAUGACUUGUGGCUGGGGGUGAAAGGCCAAUCAAACCGGGAGAUAGCUGGUUCUCCCCGAAAGCUAUUUAGGUAGCGCCUCGUGAACUCAUCUUCGGGGGUAGAGCACUGUUUCGGCUAGGGGGUCAUCCCGACUUACCAACCCGAUGCAAACUACGAAUACCGAAGAAUGUUAUCACGGGAGACACACGGCGGGUGCUAACGUCCGUCGUGAAGAGGGAAACAACCCAGACCGCCAGCUAAGGUCCCAAAGUCAUGGUUAAGUGGGAAACGAUGUGGGAAGGCACAGACAGCCAGGAUGUUGGCUUAGAAGCAGCCAUCAUUUAAAGAAAGCGUAAUAGCUCACUGGUCGAGUCGGCCUGCGCGGAAGAUGUAACGGGGCUAAACCAUGCACCGAAGCUGCGGCAGCGACACUAUGUGUUGUUGGGUAGGGGAGCGUUCUGUAAGCCUGCGAAGGUGACCUGUGAGGGUUGCUGGAGGUAUCAGAAGUGCGAAUGCUGACAUAAGUAACGAUAAAGCGGGUGAAAAGCCCGCUCGCCGGAAGACCAAGGGUUCCUGUCCAACGUUAAUCGGGGCAGGGUGAGUCGACCCCUAAGGCGAGGCCGAAAGGCGUAGUCGAUGGGAAACAGGUUAAUAUUCCUGUACUUGGUGUUACUGCGAAGGGGGGACGGAGAAGGCUAUGUUAGCCGGGCGACGGUUGUCCCGGUUUAAGCAUGUAGGCUGAUUGUCCAGGCAAAUCCGGAUAAUCAAGGCUGAGGUGUGAUGACGAGGUACUACGGUGCUGAAGUAACAAAUGCCCUGCUUCCAGGAAAAGCCUCUAAGCAUCAGGUAACAUUAAAUCGUACCCCAAACCGACACAGGUGGUCAGGUAGAGAAUACCAAGGCGCUUGAGAGAACUCGGGUGAAGGAACUAGGCAAAAUGGUGCCGUAACUUCGGGAGAAGGCACGCUGGUGUGUAGGUGAAGUCCCUGCGGAUGGAGCUGAGACCAGUCGAAGAUACCAGCUGGCUGCAACUGUUUAUUAAAAACACAGCACUGUGCAAACACGAAAGUGGACGUAUACGGUGUGACGCCUGCCCGGUGCCGGAAGGUUAAUUGAUGGGGUUAUCCGUAAGGAGAAGCUCUUGAUCGAAGCCCCGGUAAACGGCGGCCGUAACUAUAACGGUCCUAAGGUAGCGAAAUUCCUUGUCGGGUAAGUUCCGACCUGCACGAAUGGCGUAAUGAUGGCCAGGCUGUCUCCACCCGAGACUCAGUGAAAUUGAACUCGCUGUGAAGAUGCAGUGUACCCGCGGCAAGACGGAAAGACCCCGUGAACCUUUACUAUAGCUUGACACUGAACAUUGAGCCUUGAUGUGUAGGAUAGGUGGGAGGCUUUGAAGCGUGGACGCCAGUCUGCGUGGAGCCAACCUUGAAAUACCACCCUUUAAUGUUUGAUGUUCUAACGUUGGCCCCUGACCGGGGUUGCGGACAGUGUCUGGUGGGUAGUUUGACUGGGGCGGUCUCCUCCCAAAGCGUAACGGAGGAGCACGAAGGUUAGCUAAUCCUGGUCGGACAUCAGGAGGUUAGUGCAAUGGCAUAAGCUAGCUUGACUGCGAGCGUGACGGCGCGAGCAGGUGCGAAAGCAGGUCAUAGUGAUCCGGUGGUUCUGAAUGGAAGGGCCAUCGCUCAACGGAUAAAAGGUACUCCGGGGAUAACAGGCUGAUACCGCCCAAGAGUUCAUAUCGACGGCGGUGUUUGGCACCUCGAUGUCGGCUCAUCACAUCCUGGGGCUGAAGUAGGUCCCAAGGGUAUGGCUGUUCGCCAUUUAAAGUGGUACGCGAGCUGGGUUUAGAACGUCGUGAGACAGUUCGGUCCCUAUCUGCCGUGGGCGCUGGAGAAUUGAGGGGGGCUGCUCCUAGUACGAGAGGACCGGAGUGGACGCAUCACUGGUGUUCGGGUUGUCAUGCCAAUGGCACUGCCCGGUAGCUAAAUGCGGAAGAGAUAAGUGCUGAAAGCAUCUAAGCACGAAACUUGCCCCGAGAUGAGUUCUCCCUGAGACUUUAAGUCUCCUGAAGGAACGUUGAAGACGACGACGUUGAUAGGCCGGGUGUGUAAGCGCAGCGAUGCGUUGAGCUAACCGGUACUAAUGAACCGUGAGGCUUAACCUUACAACGCCGAAG
Molecule: ribosomal RNA, 2923 nt
Filed under: Klebsiella pneumoniae
Lineage: Bacteria; Pseudomonadati; Pseudomonadota; Gammaproteobacteria; Enterobacterales; Enterobacteriaceae
Description: bacterial LSU rRNA
Rfam family: Bacterial large subunit ribosomal RNA
Source: RNAcentral